This 514-nucleotide ribosomal RNA is filed under the name uncultured bacterium. Its description in RNAcentral is "partial 16S ribosomal RNA". It matches the Rfam family "Bacterial small subunit ribosomal RNA", at positions 28 to 523 of the family's 1533-position model. The record is from RNAcentral.
GAUGAACGCUGGCGGCGUGCCUAAUACAUGCAAGUCGAGCGAAUGGAUUAAGAGCUUGCUCUUAUGAAGUUAGCGGCGGACGGGUGAGUAACACGUGGUAACCUGUCCAUAAGACUGGGAUAACUCCGGGAAACCGGGGCUAAUACCGGAUAACAUUUUGAACCGCAUGGUUCGAAAUUGAAAGGCGGCUUCGGCUGUCACUUAUGGAUGGACCCGCGUCGGAUUAGCUAGUUGGUGAGGUAACGGCUCCCCAAGGCAACGAUGCGUAGCCGACCUGAGAGGGUGAUCGGCCACACUGGGACUGAGACACGGCCCAGACUCCUACGGGAGGCAGCAGUAGGGAAUCUUCCGCAAUGGACGAAAGUCUGACGGAGCAACGCCGCGUGAGUGAUGAAGGCUUUCGGGUCGUAAAACUCUGUUGUUAGGGAAGAACAAGUGCUAGUUGAAUAAGCUGGCACCUUGACGGUACCUAACCAGAAAGCCACGGCUAACUACGUGCCAGCCGCCGCGGUAA